This 73-nucleotide transfer RNA is filed under the name Ailuropoda melanoleuca (giant panda). It matches the Rfam family "tRNA". Rfam says of the family: Transfer RNA (tRNA) molecules are approximately 80 nucleotides in length. The record is from Rfam by way of RNAcentral. Lineage: Eukaryota; Metazoa; Chordata; Mammalia; Carnivora; Ursidae.
GCCUGGCUGGCUCAGUCAGUAGAGCAUGCGACUCUUGAUCUCGGGGUCAUGAGUUCGAGCCCCAUGUUGGGUG